AUGAAUUUGCUCUUGGUAUAUUUACCUAUGCUGGAUAUGGGGUCAGAUCUUUGGUAUGCAAGUGAAUGCAUAUGGAACAAUGAUUGCACAUAUUACAGUAAGCUAUAUUCUCUUCACAUUUAUGCAUAUUCUUGUUGGGACAAAAAAAGUGGUUAUAAUAAGCAGAUUCUUGUUGGGACCAAAAAAAGUGGUUAUAAUAGGCAGAUAUAUUUCUUCCCAUUUACACAUAUUCUUGCUGGGAGAGAAAAACAAAGCAGUGAUAAUAUGCAGUUUUACAUAAGCUUAUGUCUUGCAAACUAG
RNAcentral lists this ribosomal RNA (300 nucleotides) under Triticum aestivum (bread wheat). Its description in RNAcentral is "partial small subunit ribosomal RNA". Lineage: Eukaryota; Viridiplantae; Streptophyta; Magnoliopsida; Poales; Poaceae. The record is from RNAcentral.